This 835-nucleotide ribosomal RNA is filed under the name Goeppertia killipii. RNAcentral's name for it is "eukaryotic LSU rRNA". The stretch from base 310 to 465 matches the Rfam family "5.8S ribosomal RNA". The record is from RNAcentral. Lineage: Eukaryota; Viridiplantae; Streptophyta; Magnoliopsida; Zingiberales; Marantaceae.
UUCGCCGCUUGCGACGUCAUGAGAAGUCCACUGAACCUUAUCAUUUAGAGGAAGGAGAAGUCGUAACAAGGUUUCCGUAGGUGAACCUGCGGAAGGAUCAUUGUCGAAAAYCUCAUCAACGAGGAGGACCGCGAACGCGUCAACGAAUGUCGUCGGGCUGGGCCCCCUGCUCGGCCCGAUGCAGUCCCUGCCCUCGCGGCGCGGACGAUCGAUCAAAACCUCCGGCGCGAUGGGCGCCAAGGAACAUGAAACUUGCGGGCGGUACUGGACCUCGUCCUGGCCGUGCCGUAGUUUUGCUCGGAAUCGAAUGACUCUCGGCAACGGAUAUCUCGGCCCUCGCAUCGAUGAAGAACGUAGCAAAAUGCGAUACGUGGUGUGAAUUGCAGAAUCCCGCGAACCAUUGAGUCUUUGAACGCAAGUUGCGCCCGAGGCUUUCCCGCCGAGGGCACGCCUGCCUGGGCGUCACGCUAUAUCGUCGCUCCGCGCUCCCUCGCCCCCACGCGCGGGCGGCGGGGGUCGGACGCAUACAUUGGCCCCCCGCGCCCCCGGGCGCGGUCGGCCGAAGAGAGGGCCGUCGUCGGUGGUGGGACACGACGGGUGGUGGCGCCACGAGCGAGCCGAACGUCGUGCCUCCGCCGUGGAGACGAGCUUCGCAGGACCCCCCACCCCACCAUAAUCGUUUGCCUCGGAUUGCGACCUCAGGUCAGGCGGGGCCACCCGCUGAGUUUAAGCAUAUAAAUAAGCGGAGGAGAAGAAACUUACGAGGAUUCCUAUAGUAACGGCGAGCGAAUCGGGAUCAGCCCAGCUUGAGAAUCGGGCGGCCGCACCGUUCGAA